CCGGUUCUCCCCCGGUGAAGACCCUUCGGGCAGCGGCUCCAGCCCCUCGAAGGUUCCUUCCACUGAAACGGUUCGGCAGAGCCGAGGGGUCAGUGCCUUCGGGGGUUGCGGGGUCAAUCUCGACGAUUUCAGCUCGACCCCAAUCCGUGGGGAAUGGGGAGGACAACGAUCCCGGCUUCCCAACAGGAACAACGGCCGGAGCAACCGCCGUCGAGCCGGGACGGCAGCCGCAGGUCACCAGAACCGGGCAUCAACUAAAAUGGGGCGUAGGAAUGGGCGAGGUGGGCGCCGGGUUAGUGAAACGUUCCCAUUUGUGGUGAUUUUUGGACUAAAUCAUCGUAAUCUGGUUAUUUUUCCUUCGGCGCGGAGCAAAUAGGAUUGGCGUCGGCAACCUGGGAAUCCCUAUGGCUUUUCAGUCCCAUGUUUCGUGUUCGAACUGGGGAGAACUUUGCUGCCAGCCUCCAUCCUCAUGCCGAGGGCUUUCGCCUCAGUGAAAAGCUGUUGUUGGUUUUUUUCGUGUGCCUGUUUCUCAGCGCCGGGCAUUGGGGCGAAGAUCUGUGUGUAACCGCCGAGGCCGUACUCGGAUUCGGGUCGCUCAGCUGUGCCGCAGUGAGACAUGAGCUUAAAAACAACUCCCGAGAGUUUACCUGUCUUGAUCUCAGGAGGAAAGGGAGUUUCUCAUCUGGCUAAUUACAGGUUGCCUCGCUGCCGAGCCGUGGACUCCGUAUGCUUUCCUUGUGGGCGAGGAGGCUGGUGGUGACUCACUGGCUUGAGCAUCUCUGACAAUCCCAUGCUUAAGGGAAAUGUCUUUGCACCAACGCCGUGUCGUGGGAGUCGCUUAUGCAAGGAGCGCGGUAACGGGCCGGAUCCUCCCAGGAGGUGGCAACGGCUCCUUGUUACACCAGGGAGAGCGUGGCUCGUGGCUUACCCGUCUGUAAAAUGGGCUAACACCGGCAUGGUGCUGUAUAUGUGAUAAUUAGUUACUGCGAUGCGCUUGCGGCAUGCACGGAGGGGAGACGAUUUUCAACUUUUUUAGCAGGGCUAAAAAAGACAAUCUUGUCAGCUUAAGUCACAUAGCCGGAAAAGCCAAACCUGGUGGCUGGAAUCCUCCACAUUGGAUCGCCAACAAUGUCAGAUUUCUUCUUCCCGACCCUGCCACGUGUUUCCAGUCCUUGGCGAAGACUGAUCGCAGUUGCUGCCGUUCACACGCCGCAGUUGGACUCUCUGGUUUGGGUUUGGGUUCACUUUCCGCUGCGCCUUGCGUGGAGCUCGGCUGUUCCUGACCCUGGAAGAGCUGUGCUCUUCUAUACACUGUGGUAUAAAGAGUGUGCAAACUCCUGUUGCAGGAGGAGAGCGGGCUGGUUGGUGGGAGCUUAAAGCAUCAUGGCAGUUUUUUCUUUGGCACUUCUUUUCUUCAUAGUGUUUAAAAUAAAAUAAAAAAGAAAGCCUUGCAGUGCUAAUUGUGAGACUUGGGUUAAUAGUUUCAGUAGAACAAAAGCUGCUGUUUAAAGAAGGUGUAAAAGGAAAAUAGAAUAGUUGGCGUGAUGACUUGUGGCAUUGCAGCUUUAACCUGUACGGAGCAGGGACUGCCCGCACCAAGCUCCUUUCUGCUGACUGCGAGUCGUUACCCUGGCGUAGAGAGAAAACCAUUCUUUUCGCAGGAAAUACAAGGGAUGUUCUCGGUGGAAAAUGUAUUGGCGAAGCUGCCGCACAGCGGCUUGAGUGGCGUGUGCCUGCGCCAUGUCAUUUUUUGGGGAAACGUGAUGUUUAAACUACUUGAAUAUGCGCUUUUGCUUGCUAAAGAAAUAAGCUUAUAGAGGGGAGAUGGUGCGACAGCUCACAGCUUUUACGUUUGAUGCAUCUGGAAGGGAUGUCUGUCGAGAUAUUCGUUACGAGCACGUGACUCGGAAGAGCCUGCUUACGGAGCCAGGCUUCCUCCAAGCACAGCUCUAGACGUGAAACACUUGUCAGCUCUCGGCAUGUGAGCGGUGGGUAUGAAGUGUGCAAAUCCCUGCCAGAGUAGAGGAAGGCAGGGGAUGCAAAGAGGAGUUGUGCGCCCAAAUACUUAUGAAGAUCAGGACCGUGGUCUUUCUAGUGCCUCAAUUUUUGUCGGUAUAGUUUUCUGCUGAGAGUUUACCGUGCUUCUGGUGAGUCUCUGCCGCUCUGUGCCGUGCAGUUGCAGCAGGAUGUGACUUUCCUCUCCGUGGCAGCACUGGAAGGGAUGCUCUCUCGCCCCGUAUCUCAACAAGUGCCUUGGCUCUGACAGUGCUUUAGUUAAACUGUAAACCCAUCUCUUCAAAUGACAGAAAAAUAGAUUUACCCAGCUGGAAGAGGGCUGGAUCAAAAUACUAUGGGGAGAAAAUGAUGCAAAAUCGGUGGCAAAAUCUGCCAUGGCCUGAUUUGCGGAGGUGCUAAUUAUGAGCAUCCCAUGGGAGGCUGGCGAGGACAGCAAGUGCUGGGCUCUCUUGCAGAACCAGGUUUGCGCUGGAAAUAGUAGUGGCCUGGUUUAAGCAGGUGAAUUUGUCUCAAACUGAAUUUCCUUGCGUGUAGCUGCUGAGAAAACUGUGUUUAUUUUAGAUAUGUGCCUCGUAGUUGGCUAAAAUGGGAAGAGAGCCUAAUAUGGGUCAUUAUAUAAUUACUAUAAUUCUUAGGAGUAUAACACUGCUCCUGAGAAUGCUAUGAGAGUGGGUGCUGCUGGGCUCGUCAAAUGAUUUAAUGGCUUUAUCAAGCAUAAGGAAGGAUGAUUUUAGGAAACUGCUUUGUGCAGUCAUUUCUUCACCUCCUGUUCCUGCCGCUGCCAUCCCUCGUCCUAACGAGGUGGUUAACGCAGCCCCGUGAAGUGUGGUGUGUUUCUGGCCAAACUAAUUCUACACUGCUGUGGGAUCCUCGCCAUCAGCUCUUGUUUAUCCCAAAUGCGGUUAUGCUUUUGCUCCCGGGUGCUGCUUCUGCGCCGGCUGGCCUGGGGUCUCAUCCCCGCUGGACCAAGCACCCUCUCCCGUGGGCAGCCUUUGGAGAUGAAAAGUUGAUGCUUAAGUGGAAGCAAGGACUUUGUGAAAAUUAGAUCGUGCAUGCUCAUCCUUACAAAUUAUUGGACUGUAACGACAAUGCUUUUUUUUAAUGCGAUACAUGAUCUGUGUUAGGGUUUGAGCCGUUGUUUAACGUUCAGGACCUAACAGAAAGUUAGGGUUUGUAAUUUAUUCUGAAAAGCACAAACGCUCUCCAAAGAGGAAUUGAUAAGUCAGAGUGAUGAUGGUGUGGGUAGAGCCUUAAUGAAGCUGCUGCGUUUGUGUUGGAGACUUUUCUGGCUUUUAUACGGCUUGGAGGCUUCAUUCCUGUGCGGCUGCUGACGUGUUCUUCAACCCAAGUUUUAGAAUAAUGCGGGUGCUGAAAUUAGCAUGGUUGUAUUUAGAGCAAAGGGAAGCAGGCGGUUGUAGCUCUGGAAAAUAGGGUGAAGUUUUUAUUUGAAAACAGUUAAGCAUAUGGAAACCGUCACGUUUUUAUAAACUUUCACUGUGACUCUUGCUUAACUGCUGCUUUUCUCAUGCUCUGACUCUUGAGCAACAGCGUAUUUUUAAGAACGCCUUUUCCCUGCUGGAAAACCUCCAUUUGUGGGGACAGCGUGCUGUCCUGAAGCAGCUGGGAUUGUGCCAAAAAUCUGCAGGAGACUUCCAAGGCUAGGGUUUCACAAGACGGUAAGUCUUGUUGAAGAGCUACUUGUACCAAGCACGAGAUGCUGUAGCCCUGUGACCUCAGGGCUACAUCCAGCCUGACCGUGGGCUGCCCGUCGCAUCUAUGAACAAAUAUUCCACUUUUUGCCUUGCGGACUGGUUUCUUUUUUUUUUUGCAUCCACAGUGCCCUUUCUUUGGGCUGGAAGAGUUGGCGAGCUCGCAGGUUUUCUUGCACCUUCCUUUUCACCAGGAAUAACUAUUUUGCUGGGCUUUGGUAAUGGAGGUUUGAUGAUCUGCCAGUUUGAUUUUUGCCUUCGAUGAAGCGAGAGCUGCGCAGUCCUUAUCCAGUCUCAUACAGCACCUAGUCGGAGCUUAGCGACUAUAAUAAAGGUAUUAGGUCAGGUCAGGUUCAGCACAGUAUCGCUAAUCCCAGCUCUGUGUUUCAGCUGUUCUUGUGUGCGUUAGGUAACCUGCCGGCGUCAGGUCAGGUAUGCAGGCUGGGAUGGAGGCAGCGCCCCGCCAUCAUGGGAAGGAGGAGAAAGCGAGGAACGUCCCUCAAGGACCUUCAGAUCUUGCUCAUUUGGAGCUGAGCCAUGUAAAUGUUUAAAAUACUGGCCUGGAUCUUGGUCUCUGGCUGCGAGGCGAGUGCACUUGCUGUUUUUCGGGGGUGGUCCCCAAGAUUAUUUAUAAAACGUCCGAUGAUGGCCUGGCUGGGACAUGGAAACUCUUCCCAGGCUCGUGUUUUUGCUGCCUAGCGCUCAUCUGUCUCCUGCCUCUGAAACAAGCCUGUGAAUCCUUCCAGUGUCUCAUAAGGGCUCGGCUUAAUUAAGCUUUUUAUAGCAUUUUACAAGCAUUAGCUAACUAAAUAUUGUGACAUCCCUGUGGGGUAGGUGUUUUUUCACUUAUCCUAACAAAGCCGUUUCUAUCUGCGUGGGCACUCGGAGAAUUGCGUUGGGAGGGAGAUGCUUUUGAAAUGAGAUUCCUGACGAUGCCCCAUCGUUGAGGGCAACCCGUGCCCGAUGUUAUACCAAGCUGCUCUAAAAAUAGGUGGAUUCCCAGAGGUUUGAGAGUGCUAACGUUAUCCCGUGCCUGUGUGACACAUCCGAUGGAAGUGUAAGAUGGUGUCAUAAAGAGAGUCCUGGAGAUAUGAGCAUCCUUUAAAAAGCAUGGCUUUUAGGAUAGCUGAGGUUGCAGAGGUGCUGAAGAUGCUGCUGGGGCCCUGUUGAUAGCGAUGUCUGGAGCUCGUGUUUAAAAUGUGUGUGUUCCUAAAGGAAAAGGAGAAUGGAAAAUAGAGUGAACGUGGGUUCCAUGUGAACUGCGCUGAGCUUUUCCCUGAUUUCUUAUCUUUAUGGCACUUGGCAAGAGAUUGGGGGCAUACGAAAGGGGCACGGGUGCUGGUACUUGAGAUGAGGGAGGAGAAAUGUCAACCUUCUGAAAAACCAAUUUUAUCUGGACAGUGAUACGGCAAAUUCUGGGGAAAAGCAUAACGCUGAGAGAUGCCAGUGUUUGUCUCGAACGGAGGGGCUGUUUUUAACCGGGAGGCAACAAGCGAGCAGCACGACUCCUGCUCUGGUCCCUCGUGUUUCGCCCGCAUAGUUCAGCGCUUGCAUCACGGCAGAAGAGGCGUUGGGCUCGGAGAAUUCCUGACAGUCUAGGACAUUGUGGUUUCUAAAACAAGGAGUCACGCAUGGUUCAAAGACAAUGUUGACACCAUUGUCAGCUCCGGGGCUUGGUCGGUACGUACUUGGUGGAAGUCUCUGUCUGAGCCGCCGGUGCUGCCACUGACACCAGGACAAGGUUUGUUUUUUCUUGAGCUUUUCCUCUUUGGUCUCUUCUACCUUCUUUGGCUUGUUCUGUUUGUAUUUUAAAUUUAGCUUCCUCGCACUGCCUUUUGCUUUGGUUUUGAGUUUGUUUCCCCGUGGAUUUGCCAUUUUUUCACCAAAGCAUGCUGAAACCUCUGGGAAGCUGCGUGCUCUAGCAAAAUCCAUCAGCGAAAGAGGGGCUAAUAAACUCAUACGGUUUCAAAAAGUUUGACCGAAAGUAGUUGGGAUGAAAGUCUUCCGUGAAUUUAAUGCUCUGCAGUUUCUAGUGGAGGGCAGUUUCUUGUAGGAGGCUGCGAUGAGAUGGAUAAUCCUUAUCUGUGGUGUUUCAUUGAAGCAUUCAACCUCCCACCAGCUCGGAGGCUUCACCGUGAGAUCUAAGCAGAUGCGAACCACGGGAGAGAAAUGUAAAGGAUAUAAGGAGAUAACGAAGUUGCAGAACAGCUCUGAAGGGGAGCAAGCUGGAAGUAACUGAGCUGCUAUGCAGAGAAGAUUAGGAUUACAACUAAGGACCUGAAGCCUAAAACCCCACGUUCUGCAGUGACCAAACCAGCGCUUCAAUCAAAUAGUUUAUUCCCUUGAAAGUGAUUUUUUUUCCAUGUUUUAAGGUAGAGCUGAAUGGGAGGGAGAGUGGGAAAAAAUGCGCUGCGCCCCUCGGUCUUGCUUCUCCUGUUUGUUUCCAGGGAGAUGGCUGAAAUGGGAUAACUUCUGUCCGUUGGAAAUCGGGAGAUGUGGCUGGAUUGAUGCAGAGGUGCUGAUCCAAGCACCACAGACCCCAGCUGCCGGGAGGAAUCCAUGACCGCACGACCUCGGCUAUGGACAUUGUCCUGUCGGAUUUUGUUCGCUCAACGGGGGCAGAGCCGGGACUGGCCAGAGACCUGCUCGAAGGUAAGAACUGGGACCUGAGCGCAGCCCUGAGUGACUUUGAACAGCUAAGGCAAGUGCAUGCUGGCAACCUACCCCAUUCCUUCAACGAAGGACGCAACUAUAAACCCCCUGAAAAAGAGGCAGCCCGUCCCGGGCGACCGCCGCUCCAGCGGCAGGAUGAUAUCGUACAAGAAAAACGCUUGUCUCGAGGCAUUUCCCACGCCAGCUCGACCAUCGUCUCCCUGGCCCGGUCCCACGUCUCCAGCAACGGCAGCAGCGAACAUCUGCUGGAGAUGCCCAUCUGCACCUUCCAGCUGCCUGACCUCACCGUGUACACGGAGGACUUCCGCAGCUUCAUCGAGCGAGACCUCAUCGAACAGUCAAUGCUGGUGGCGCUGGAGCAAGCUGGUCGUCUGAACUGGUGGGCGAAUGUGGAUCCCAGUUGCCAAAGGCUGCUUCCCCUGGCCACCACUGGUGAUGGGAACUGCCUGCUCCAUGCUGCCUCCCUGGGUAUGUGGGGUUUCCAUGAUAGAGAUCUCAUGCUUCGCAAAUCCCUUUACACCUUGAUGGAUAAAGGCAUGGAAAGGGAAGCCCUGAAGCGGAGGUGGCGUUGGCAGCAAACGCAGCAGAACAAGGAGUCUGGUCUUGUUUACACUGAAGAGGAGUGGCAGAAGGAGUGGAAUGAGCUGAUCAAGCUGGCAUCCAGCGAGCCUCGUGUACACUACAGCACCAACGGGGGCGGCUGUGGAGGUGUUGAAAGCUCUGAAGAGCCGGUGUACGAGAGCCUGGAGGAGUUUCACGUCUUCGUCCUCGCCCACGUGUUGAAGAGACCCAUAGUGGUGGUGGCAGACACGAUGUUGCGGGACUCAGGGGGAGAAGCCUUUGCCCCUAUUCCCUUUGGAGGGAUCUAUCUUCCCCUGGAAGUCCCAGCUAACAAAUGCCAUCGUUCUCCAUUGGUCCUGGCUUACGACCAAGCCCAUUUUUCUGCCCUGGUAUCCAUGGAGCAGAAGGAACCCACAAAAGAUCAAGCUGUGAUCCCCCUGACGGACUCUGAGCACAAGCUGCUCCCUGUGCACUUUGCCGUGGAUCCCGGGAAGGAAUGGCAGUGGGGAAAAGACGACAGUGACAACGUCAAGCUAGCCAGUGUGACGUUAUCACUGGAAGCAAAGCUGCACUUGCUGCACAGCUACAUGAAUGUUAAAUGGAUCACAUUGCCAUGUGACAUGCAGGCGCCUUUGGCCCAGCCGGAAUCCCCUACAGCCUCCGCGGGCGAUGACGCUCGUUCAGCUGCGGAGUCGGGAGAGUCGGACAAGGAGUCGGUCUGCAGCAGUUCAGCGAGCAAUGGUGGCAGCAGGGGCUGCAAGGACAAAGAGAAACCAAAGAAAGAGCGAGAAAAGGAUAAGGAAAAAGAUAAAAAACGGGCAGACUCGGUUGCCAAUAAGCUGGGCAGCUUCGGCAAGACUUUGGGAAGUAAGCUAAAAAAGAACAUGGGUGGCUUGAUGCACAGCAAAACUAUCAAGGGAGGUGUGAGCAAUGGGCAGGGGGAUACCUUGGAGAAGAAGAAGAAAGGAUCCUUGAAGUCCAGGAAAGGCAGCAAAGAGGAAUCUUCUCAAGGAGACUUGUCAGCUCCUGUGGAGAAACCCUGCCCAGGUAAAGCAGCCCCUGAAAAGCCGGCAGACCCUUACAAAUACAGCAACGACGUCAGGCUGAGCCUGAGCAUCCUCCGGGCUGCCAUGCAGGGAGAGCGCAAGUUCAUCUUUGCCGGCCACCUCAAGACCAGCAACCGGCACCAGUAUCAGGAGGAGAUGAUCCAGCGGUACCUUCUGGAUGCCGAGGAACGUUUUAUGGCUGAGCAGAAACAAAAGGAGGCCGAGAAGAAGGCGCUGGGGAGUGCUGCUCCUGCCAAGAAGCUGGAGCCGGAGGCGAACACCCACAAGGGUGAGGAAGCGAUGCUCACCCCCGCUUACGCCCAGCCUCCCCCCACGUACACCAUCCAGACCCCAGAUCUGGCCAUAGGCACUAAAAUAGCAGCUUUUCCCUCUGGCUAUUCGGGUGUUUUCACCUUUCCCAGACCCUCCAUGGUGAACAGCAUGGAAGGGUCGCACCCCCCCAGCUAUCAAGACAGCAGGCGGCAGGUAGCCGGGGGAUCCUGCAGCAGCCUUCCUCCCUAUGCUACCUUACCCAGACAUUGCACCCAGGCGCGGCUGAAUCCCUACCAAACCAGCCCUUCCCACCUGGGGAGAUUCUCCCCCACGGACAUGGACAUCCAUCCCACUUACCGGUCGGAGUGCGAUGGCUCAACCUGCCUCCCCCUGCACAGCAACGGCUACAGGGAAUACCUCGACCAGGAAAGCUCGCAGAAAGGAAUGCCGGCAGACAAAAAUAAAAGCCGAGUUCUUUAUAACAUUCAGCAGACCAAAUGCAAGCAGCCAAACUGCAGUUUUUACGGACAUCCAGAAACUGGGAAUUUCUGCUCGUGCUGUUACAAAGAGGAGCUGAAACGCAAGGAGCAGGAGGCUCUAGUGCACAGGUUCUGAGCACCCUGCCCUGGUGCUGAUCUUGGGACCCAUGAAAGAUGGGGAAUGCAAUAAUAUAUAUAUAUAUAAUUCUUUUUAAACCCCCCCCCACUCCUCUCCCUGUCUGUGGAAGGAGGGAGCGGGUAUUUGGCUGGAUGGGCUGAGAAAUGAGAUUUGGCUGGUGUGAUGGAGGUGAUGCAGGAGGGUGGUGGGAGGGAUAGGAGGUGAGAAAAACCAGCUCCCCCCUCCCAGAGACCCUGCAAGAGGGAGGAGGAUGCUUUUCAAGAGGCUUCUUCUGGCAAGGGGUGACUAGGAUUAGCAGAAGGUGUGCUCAGGUUGGAGCACAGGGUGCAAGGGGGGGUUCUUCAAAACGAUUCAAUAAACCAGACCAAAGCUUUCGGAGAAGGCAAACAGGGAGCAGCACCCUGCCGGGUCCUGCCAGCUGGACUCCGACGGCAUUAGCUGCCCAGAAUUGAGCGAAAACGCCCCAGCGAUUUCAGUUUGAACGUCACAAACCUUUUAAUUGAGAUUUUUUUUUUUUAACAGUUUUUAUUUUAUAUUUCUUUUUGCUGGUACUGAGUGAAACUUAGUUGGAAUUGGACAUUAUUGGGGUUGUUUUUGCAGUUGAACACGUCCAAGCCCAGCCCCAUCGGAUGUCUCCAACCAUCUCUUAGCAGCGGGCUUGGGGCUCUGCCCUUCCAAUGGGCUCAACUCUGGUUUUAAAAUGUUAUUUUUAAACUCUUUUUUCUUGGGGUGGGAGGGAGACGGAGGGGUGGUCACAGUGCUUGAGUGGUUUUGAGGUGUUUUUCCUGCAGAAGUACUGUGCAAAACCAUUCUGUUUGCGGUACGGUUGACCUGACUUAGUAAGAAUUGAGACAAGAAACAAGGUCGGUGUCUCCACCCAGCAAUAACCAUCGGUGUGGGGAAGUAGAGAGGACAAAGAGCAUCCCACAGCACCAGGAGAAGGCACCAAACUAUGCAAUCCCUUUCCAUGCUGAUCCUGCCCGCUGCCCUUCCUGGUGAGAAGGGACGAGAGAACCGGGCAGAGGAGGUGAAAGUGUACUUAACACUGGAGAAUCACCUGAAGCCUUAUUCUCACAAAUACCCUAAGGCUUGGUUCUAAUGUACAAGUUUUACCACUUUAAUAUAUAUCUAAAACCCCACAAAUUAAGGCCUUUUUUAGAGGCGGCGGCUGCACGGGGUCAUUAGGUGUGGUCCUAACGGUUUGGGUCCAGCCAUCGAAGCUGCUUGUGGGCGGAUUGUAAAUAUCCCAGUGAUGGUUUAACUCAGAUUUCAGUUGUUCUCUUUGGUUUUAUUAAAUCACUGAGCAUAGAUAAGCCUUGCCCAGCUGCAUGAUGCGAAAGGCCGCCUUUAAUAUACGAUCGAUGCAGCCGAGGGUCAGCACUGGCUCCUGUAGGUGACGUGUCCUCUUAUCUCAGAGCAAAUGCCAGAUAGCAAGUCUUUCCCUUAAAUUGCAGUAAAUCCAAUGUACUUUAACCCAGGAGUGAGAAUAUAAAGCACUGGUUAAGCCCCGCAGGCUCUCACCCCGGUUAUCCUGCAGCAGUCUCUUGGUUCACCCCAAAUAUUAAGCCAAAAUGUUUAGAAAAACAAACAAACCCCUCACUAUAUGGGGGUCACUUGGUUUAUAUACCAGUUUCUGCUAUUUAUUUUUCCUGUAACCGGAGCGGCAGCUUUAUUUUGGUUUGGGGAGCAUCCUUUGGCUACUGCCGAAAGCGAUCAGAGCAGGGGAUGCUCUGUGCGCCCCCCCCAACCAAAGAACGUGGGCACAGGAGGAGGGAAGGCAAAAGGUGAUGCUUCACCAGCUGUUCCUAGUUUUUGGGGGGGGGAUUUGUCUCUGUUUUGGUUAACUCCAUCCUGCCACGGUGCCAAGCCAAUGGAUGCUGGAGGUUGCAUUGUGGUGGGAAGCGCCCGGCGCUGAUUUUUGGACCCACUCUCUGGAGGGGGGUUCCUUCCCGGCAACGAAGCACCACCAGGAAAUCUUGGCUGUUCACACAGCAGAGGUUAUGGGGAGCUUUGCUUUAAUUUUGUAAAUGUGAUGGAGUUGUGCGUAAUACUGUCUUAGGGGGAAAAAAAAUGGGGAAUGCCAGCAGCAGGUACCCCGUCUGCGCAUCCUCCUAGAAGAAAAUCAUCUCAAAUCCCAAAUUCCCAGAGAUGCUGUCACUCUUCCUCCUCCUGAGGGUUUUUUUUGGGGGGGGGAAAGCAAGUUUUGCUUUGUGUUCUUAUUAACAAAGCUUGAGUGUAGCGUGGUCCCUCUCUGAGGACUGGGUAAGCCCGGAUGGCUGCACCGGGGUGGGAAUGCCAACCUCUCCCAAUCCCAUGGGCACCUGGAAGGGAAAUGAGAAGGGGGCUUGCGUGCCACCCCAGCGCUGCGGUUAAGGAGGAAAAGGGCAAAGUUGUUCCCCAAAAAGUUGUUCUCCAGGUCUGGGGGGGGUUUGGACAGCCAGCCCUGCAGCCUUGGCAUGCGCAGGGCUCCCAGCAUGGUGGGAUUUUGCAGGAUCUUCAGUGCCCUGCGUUGUCGGGUUUUAUUGCAGUUAGUAGAAUCUGUAGCUUUUUUUAAAAUCCAAAGGGGGGUGUGGGGGGGUGGAACCAACCAACUGAACUUCAGGCAAGGAUGAAAAAUCUUUGCAGAGUAUUUUUGCUAUGAAGGGCAGAGUUUUGGCUAUUCCCCAAGCGCCGCAUGAGCCCCAACCUCAGCUGGGUCGCACCGAACCGGCUGCAUUUCUUCAGAACCAUGAAGGAUUUUUUCAGGUCAUUUUUGUUUCCUUUAUGGUGAAACUAAUUAUUUUUUUUUCUUUUUUAAGGGACUGUUAAAUGCAAAUUAUAUUUAUUGAAAGAUGAUAUCUACCAUCCGCCAGGUCCUAUUCAUAAACACACUAAAGCCACUGCCCAUGCAGUGUUUUGGGGGCUUGGGACUGGAUAUUUUUCCUAUUUUUUUAAAGCGGGAAGCGAGAGCAACUCAUACUCCAAAGUACCUUUCAUGGAAGAAAAAGCACCAAACCUGCCCCCGGGAGGGUUUUUCUCCCAUCAGCUGCGACGUGAUCCUGAGGUCUUAAAAUAAGUGCACUUAAUGGUGUCGUUGGAAGAAACAUUGCUGCCAGCAGGCCCUGGGUGCAGUAAAGAUUUUCUUUAAGGGUGGGCAAAACCUAUUAAUGAGCAUUUUAUUUUGUCGAACGAGCAUUUACCUUCACAUAUGUUACCUGGCCCCUCCCUGGGGAAGGCUGAUGGGAUGCUUUGGUUAUCACUAAUCCUACAAGAAGUGACCUGAAUUAAUUCUGCAAUUGUUUAUUUACAAAAGACUUUUUUUUUUUUUUUUAAUUAAAUAUUAGGUUGGUGAUUUUUUUACUCCUUGUGAGCACCGCUGUAGCCAGCACUAGAUGGCGUGUCGCAGUCAGGCUGUACACCGCAUCCUUCGUUUAUGCUACCAUAGAUUCACUGACAAUAAACAACAUUCAACUAAUUAA
RNA transcript from Harpia harpyja (harpy eagle), 12354 nucleotides. It is a transcript of the gene named OTU deubiquitinase 7B, with no coding region annotated. The transcript is spliced from 14 exons. The record is from RefSeq and is a predicted model, not a curated record. NCBI's taxonomy places the organism in Eukaryota, Metazoa, Chordata, Aves, Accipitriformes, Accipitridae.